RNAcentral lists this long non-coding RNA (890 nucleotides) under Anas platyrhynchos platyrhynchos (common mallard). RNAcentral's name for it is "lncRNA (ENSAPLG00000030660.1)". Lineage: Eukaryota; Metazoa; Chordata; Aves; Anseriformes; Anatidae. The record is from RNAcentral.
GAGCUCAGUCAUAGUUGAAGAUCCUUUGAGUCUGUACUGUGCAAACCUGAAAAAAAAACACCUGAUUCCACCUCAUGGAGGUUUUAUCCACUGCCUUGGCACAAAAGUGCAAUGCAAGCUUUCUUUUGAAGUCCACUAGGAUUUCCUUAAAUUUAUGAUCAGAUAGUUGCAAGCAAUGAAAUUAUCAUCUCCCAUGUGAGAGGAGACAGCAUCCUGCACAGACCAUUUCCAGCAAAGGUUGUUUAAGACAACCCUUUUUAUUUUGCAGUGCAAGAUGCUGGAAGCACAGUAGCUUUGAAUUUCUUCAGUUCAGCUAAAGAGAGAGGGGAAUAAGCUAUAUUCCAAAUAACCUCUGGACUAUGUACUUGAAUUAAAGAACAUAAAGGAGCGAGCAGCGCCAUGUAAGCAGCUGUGGACUGGCAUGAAGAUAGAUGGUGUCUGGGACGAGACGGGGCAAAAAGAAAAGAAGCAAAAGGUUUUUUCCAUUGCGGCAGAGCUCUGUCAUGGACGUGGCGUCGGGAGCUGUGGAGGCUGUGCCUGUGGGGAGGGUAGGUUGUGGGGUCUCAGUGCCUUGGGGCAGGGAUUUCCUAUCUGCUGUUGCUCUGGAAAGGGAGCUCCACUGCUGUUCUCCACGCAUGUGCAAGGACCUGCUGCUUCUUACAAGCUUUUGCCAUCCAAACUCCUCCAUGCCUAAGGACACCUGCUGGGCCCGGGGGCAGCAAGGUGUGCACUUGGCUUUGUUCACGAGGAUAAUCUCCUUUUGCUCUGCCCAUUGGGCUUUGAGCAAACCUACUCCAUCCCCCAGGCUCUUUCCCUCAGGUUUAAGGAUAUUGCUUGUGCUCCUGCAGUCUGGAAAUAUUUGUGAGGAUCUUGGUUGGGCUGGAGCUUAG